GCUUGUCUCAAAGAUUAAGCCAUGCAUGUCUAAGUGUAAAUAAGUCUAUACUGUGAAACUGCGAAUGGCUCAUUAAAUCAGUUAUCGUUUAUUUGAUGAUCUCUUACUACUUGGAUAACCGUAGUAAUUCUAGAGCUAAUACAUGCGUAAAAUCCCGACUCUCGCGGGGAGGGAUGUAUUUAUUAGUUAAAAAGCCAAUGCGGGUUCUGCCCGGUUUUGUGGUGAAUCAUAGUAACUGUUCGAAUCGCAUGGCUUCACGCCGGCGAUAGUUCAUUCAAAUUUCUGCCCUAUCAGCUUUCGACGGUAGUGUAGUGGACUACCGUGGCGUUAACGGGUAACGGAGAAUUAGGGUUCGGUUCCGGAGAGGGAGCCUGAGAAACGGCUACCACAUCCAAGGAAGGCAGCAGG
Molecule: ribosomal RNA, 408 nt
Filed under: uncultured Thaumatomonadida
Lineage: Eukaryota; Cercozoa; Imbricatea; Thaumatomonadida
Description: partial small subunit ribosomal RNA
Rfam family: Eukaryotic small subunit ribosomal RNA
Source: RNAcentral